UUCUUGACAGUUGUAUUCAGACACAAGUCAACCACAGAGAGGAAGGAAACACAGCCAAAGACAAAACGGUUCCCAUAUCACACCAUAAAGCAUGGGCAGAGUUAAAUGAAAAAGAGAGAGAAAGCCAAAUAGGAGAAGAAAUGUCCAUGAAAACAUGAAAGAUGUCACAUCACAUGAUCAUCUGCCACAAGUCAAAAAUAAACCUAAAUAGUAGGGAUGGGCAUUUGGUCAUUUUGUCUACUCGAGUCCUCGGACUAAGUUCACGUCGAGUACUCGAGGGGCAAUGACAUGUACAUAACUGUAUAUAUAAUAACAUGCCUGACAAAUGUCUUUGGCUGCUGCAUUGUGUCUUGUUGUUCCAGUGUAUCAUCUAUUUAUAGGCGUUACAAAACAAUUGGUUACAAAAUGUACAAAAGAUUGCAUAAUCAAUGCAUCAUAUUUUGUCGUUAUGUGAAGAUUCGCUGCCCAACUCGAUGAAAGAAUGUGCACAACGCACGUCUGUCUGUUCUUCCUUCAGGUUACCAUAGUAAUCCAAGUAAGUGUGCACUAGUUUUUUUAGUAGCUGUCUGAACCGUCUAUUUUCAAAUCGCGGUUGGCUUAACAGGAGACACCAUAACCAUCGCGUUUUUAAUGUGUGUGUUAAGUUGAAGUUCAGUUUUGAAGACGCUGCAUUCUGAUGCCGCGAUGCUCCAUACUGCUGUUGCUGUGAUGAUUCAUGAAGCGUUCCAUUCAACUCGGAGAGUCAGAAUUUCCACCUUUCAACUGGGGAAAGUGCAACGGAAUGACACAUUAUUAUGUCAGAUCUUCUAACUUGGAAACUUGUGCGGAAAUCUUCAACUCACAUUUCGUCGAGAUACAGAAUUGAAUAGAAGAACAAGAAGCCCUACAACAGAUGUCAUGGUCCCCACAGAGCCCAGAUCAUUGAGUCUGUCUGGGAUUACAUGAAGAGACAGAAACAAUCGAGACAGCCUAAAUAGACAGAGAACUGUGGCAAGUUCUCCAAGAAGUUUGGAACAUCCUAUCUGCAACAACCAAGAAAAACUGUGUCCAGGUGUACCUUGGAGAAUCGGUGCUGUUUUGAAGCCACAACUUCUCCUCUGAUUGCUCCAAGUACUCUUCUGCCCAGCGGCCAGGGUCUAUGAAACAGGGGGAAGGGAAUUGAAUAUGGUAGAAGACGACAGAAGAAAGAGUGAAGCUAUAAGAGAAAAUGAAAGAUAGCUGGGCAAAGAUGAGUGAAGAAUUGUCAGCUCCAUCUAAUGACAUCUUCAAUUAAAAUAACGCACUUAAAAUGUAU
This is a long non-coding RNA of Myxocyprinus asiaticus (Chinese sucker), 1294 nucleotides long. RefSeq lists it as uncharacterized. The record is from RefSeq and is a predicted model, not a curated record. The transcript has 3 exons. Lineage: Eukaryota; Metazoa; Chordata; Actinopteri; Cypriniformes; Catostomidae.